AGUGAACGCUGGCGGUAGGCCUAACACAUGCAAGUCGAACGGCAGCACAGGAGAGCUUGCUCUCUGGGUGGCGAGUGGCGGACGGGUGAGGAAUACAUCGGAAUCUACUUUUUCGUGGGGGAUAACGUAGGGAAACUUACGCUAAUACCGCAUAUGACCUACGGGUGAAAGCAGGGGAUCUUCGGACCUUGCGCGAUUGAAUGAGCCGAUGUCGGAUUAGCUAGUUGGCGGGGUAAAGGCCAAACAAGGCGACGAUCCGUAGCUGGUCUGAGAGGAUGAUCAGCCACACGGGAACUGAGACCCGGUCCAGACUCCUACGGGAGGCAGCAGUGGGGAAUAUUGGACAAUGGGCGCAAGCCUGAUCCAGCCAUACCGCGUGGGUGAAGAAGGCCUUCGGGUCGUAAAGCCCUUUUGUUGGGAAAGAAAUCCAGCUGGUUAAUACCCGGUUGGGAUGACGGUACCCAAAGAAUAAGCACCGGCUAACUUCGUGCCAGCCGCCGCGGUAA
RNAcentral lists this ribosomal RNA (506 nucleotides) under uncultured bacterium. Its description in RNAcentral is "partial 16S ribosomal RNA". It matches the Rfam family "Bacterial small subunit ribosomal RNA", at positions 29 to 523 of the family's 1533-position model. The record is from RNAcentral.